Molecule: ribosomal RNA, 526 nt
Filed under: Bacillus stratosphericus
Lineage: Bacteria; Bacillati; Bacillota; Bacilli; Caryophanales; Bacillaceae
Description: bacterial SSU rRNA
Rfam family: Bacterial small subunit ribosomal RNA
Source: RNAcentral
AGCUUGCUCCCGGAUGUUAGCGGCGGACGGGUGAGUAACACGUGGGUAACCUGCCUGUAAGACUGGGAUAACUCCGGGAAACCGGAGCUAAUACCGGAUAGUUCCUUGAACCGCAUGGUUCAAGGAUGAAAGACGGUUUCGGCUGUCACUUACAGAUGGACCCGCGGCGCAUUAGCUAGUUGGUGAGGUAACGGCUCACCAAGGCGACGAUGCGUAGCCGACCUGAGAGGGUGAUCGGCCACACUGGGACUGAGACACGGCCCAGACUCCUACGGGAGGCAGCAGUAGGGAAUCUUCCGCAAUGGACGAAAGUCUGACGGAGCAACGCCGCGUGAGUGAUGAAGGUUUUCGGAUCGUAAAGCUCUGUUGUUAGGGAAGAACAAGUGCAAGAGUAACUGCUUGCACCUUGACGGUACCUAACCAGAAAGCCACGGCUAACUACGUGCCAGCAGCCGCGGUAAUACGUAGGUGGCAAGCGUUGUCCGGAAUUAUUGGGCGUAAAGGGCUCGCAGGCGGUUUCUUAAGU